RNAcentral lists this ribosomal RNA (253 nucleotides) under Coprococcus comes ATCC 27758. Its description in RNAcentral is "partial 16S ribosomal RNA". It matches the Rfam family "Bacterial small subunit ribosomal RNA", at positions 524 to 776 of the family's 1533-position model. The record is from RNAcentral. Lineage: Bacteria; Bacillati; Bacillota; Clostridia; Lachnospirales; Lachnospiraceae.
UACGUAUGGUGCAAGCGUUAUCCGGAUUUACUGGGUGUAAAGGGAGCGUAGACGGCUGUGUAAGUCUGAAGUGAAAGCCCGGGGCUCAACCCCGGGACUGCUUUGGAAACUAUGCAGCUAGAGUGUCGGAGAGGUAAGUGGAAUUCUCAGUGUAGCGGUGAAAUGCGUAGAUAUUGGGAGGAACACCAGUGGCGAAGGCGGCUUACUGGACGAUGACUGACGUUGAGGCUCGAAAGCGUGGGGAGCAAACAGG